CUAGCGACUUCAGAGUUUGAUCCUGGCUCAGGAUGAACGCUAGCUACAGGCUUAACACAUGCAAGUCGAGGGGCAGCAUGAGGUCAGCUUGCUGACUUUGAUGGCGACCGGCGCACGGGUGAGUAACGCGUAUCCAACCUUCCCUCCACUCGGCAAUAGCCCGUCGAAAGGCGGAUUAAUGGGCGAUGAUAUCCAGUGAUCUCCUGAGAUCUGGAUUAAAGGUAUUCUCCGGUGGUGGAUGGGGAUGCGUCUGAUUAGCUUGUUGGCGGGGUAACGGCCCACCAAGGCAUCGAUCAGUAGGGGUUCUGAGAGGAAGGUCCCCCACAUUGGAACUGAGACACGGUCCAA
This 348-nucleotide ribosomal RNA is filed under the name uncultured bacterium. Its description in RNAcentral is "bacterial SSU rRNA". It matches the Rfam family "Bacterial small subunit ribosomal RNA", at positions 1 to 334 of the family's 1533-position model. The record is from RNAcentral.